AGCUAAUACAUGCUAAAAACCUCGACUUCGGAAGGGGUGUAUUUAUUAGAUAAAAAACCAAUGCCCUUCGGGGCUGCUUGGUGAUUCAUAAUAACUUAACGAAUCGCAUGGCCUUGCGCCGGCGAUGGUUCAUUCAAAUUUCUGCCCUAUCAACUUUCGAUGGUAAGGUAGUGGCUUACCAUGGUCUCAACGGGUAACGGGGAAUUAGGGUUCUAUUCCGGAGAGGGAGCCUGAGAAACGGCUACCACAUCCAAGGAAGGCAGCAGGCGCGCAAAUUACCCAAUACUAAUUCAGUGAGGUAGUGACAAUAAAUACUGAUACGGGGCUCUUUCGGGUCUCGUAAUUGGAAUGAGUACAAUCUAAAUCCCUUAACGAGGAACAAUUGGAGGGCAAGUCUGGUGCCAGCAGCCGCGGUAAUUCCAGCUCCAAUAGCGUAUAUUAAAGUUGUUGCCGUUAAAAAGCUCGUAGUUGAACCUUGGACCUGGCUGAUCUGUCCUCCUAAUCGAGCGUACGGAUUCGGUCGGGUCUUUUCUUCUGGGGAGCCUUAUGCCCUUCACUGGGUGUAAUGGGGAACCAGGACUUUUACCUUGAAAAAAUUAGAGUGUUCAAAGCAGGCCUUUGCUCGAAUACAUUAGCAUGGAAUAAUAGAAUAGGACAUCGGUUCUAUUUUGUUGGUUUCUAGGACCGCUGUAAUGAUUAAUAGGGAUAGUCGGGGGCGUCCGUAUUCAAUUGUCAGAGGUGAAAUUCUUGGAUUUAUUGAAGACGAACUACUGCGAAAGCAUUCGCCAAGGAUGUUUUCAUUAAUCAGUGAACGAAAGUUAGGGGAUCGAAGACGAUCAGAUACCGUCGUAGUCUUAACCAUAACUAUGCCGACUAGGAUNNNNNNNNNNNNNNNNNNNNNNNNNNNNNNNNNNNNNNNNNNNNNNNNNNGGCACCUUACGAGAAAUCAAAGUGUUUGGGCUCGGGGGGGAGUAUGGUCGCAAGGCUGAAACUUAAAGAAAUUGACGGAAGGGCACCACAAGGCGUGGAGCCUGCGGCUUAAUUUGACUCAACACGGGGAAACUCACCAGGUCCAGACAUGCUUAGGAUUGACAGAUUGAUAGCUCUUUCUUGAUUGUAUGGGUGGUGGUGCAUGGCCGUUCUUAGUUGGUGGAGUGAUUUGUCUGCCUAAUCGCGAUAACGAACGAGACCUUGACCUGCUAAAUAGCCCGAUUGACUUUUGUCGGUCGCUGGCUUCUUAGAGGGACUUUUGGCUCAAGCCAAUGGAAGUACGAGGCAAUAACAGGUCUGUGAUGCCCUUAGAUGUUCUGGGCUGCACGCGCGCUACACUGACAGAGCCAGCGAGUACAUCACCUUGGCCGAAAGGUCUGGGUAAUCUUGUUAAACUCUGUCGUGCUGGGGAUAGAGCAUUGCAAUUAUUGCUCUUCAACGAGGAAUGCCUAGUAAGCGCAAGUCAUCAGCUUGCGUUGAUUACGUCCCUGCCCUUUGUACACACCGCCCGUCGCUACUACCGAUUGAAUGGCUCAGUGAGGCCUUGGGACUGGCUCAGAAAGGUCGGCAACGACCAUCAGAGCC
RNAcentral lists this ribosomal RNA (1575 nucleotides) under Chaetothyriales sp. FGPPC11. Its description in RNAcentral is "partial 18S ribosomal RNA". It matches the Rfam family "Eukaryotic small subunit ribosomal RNA", at positions 162 to 1748 of the family's 1831-position model. Lineage: Eukaryota; Fungi; Ascomycota; Eurotiomycetes; Chaetothyriales. The record is from RNAcentral.